ACUCCUACGGGAGGCAGCAGUGGGGAAUCUUCCGCAAUGGACGAAAGUCUGACGGAGCAACGCCGCGUGUAUGAUGAAGGUCUUCGGAUUGUAAAGUACUGUCAUUGGGGAAGAACGGUUUUCUUGAAAAGAUUGAGAAGACAUGACGGUACCCAAGGAGGAAGCCCCGGCUAACUACGUGCCAGCAGCCGCGGUAAUACGUAGGGGGCAAGCGUUGUCCGGAAUUAUUGGGCGUAAAGGGCGCGUAGGCGGGCCUUUAAGUCCGGUGUGAAAGAUCAGGGCUCAACCCUGAGAGUGCAUCGGAAACCGGAGGCCUUGAGGACAAGAGAGGAAAGUGGAAUUCCACGUGUAGCGGUGAAAUGCGUAGAUAUGUGGAGGAACACCAGUGGCGAAGGCGACUUUCUGGACUGUAACUGACGCUGAGGCGCGAAAGCGUGGGGAGCAAACAGGAUUAGAUACCCUGGUAGUCCACGCCGUAAACGAUGAGUGCUAGGUGUAGAGGGUAUCGACCCCUUCUGUGCCGCAGUUAACACAAUAAGCACUCCGCCUGGGGAGUACGGCCGCAAGGUUGAAACUAAAAGGAAUUGACGG
This 591-nucleotide ribosomal RNA is filed under the name uncultured bacterium. RNAcentral's name for it is "bacterial SSU rRNA". It matches the Rfam family "Bacterial small subunit ribosomal RNA", at positions 335 to 916 of the family's 1533-position model. The record is from RNAcentral.